Molecule: unclassified non-coding RNA, 101 nt
Filed under: Methanoculleus bourgensis
Lineage: Archaea; Methanobacteriati; Methanobacteriota; Methanomicrobia; Methanomicrobiales; Methanomicrobiaceae
Description: SRP_bact
Source: RNAcentral
UCCCGGAGGGGGCGGCGACCUCUUGCCGCGGGUACCGGUUCAGGCCCGGAAGGGAGCAGACUUACCGUGGACGUUCGGCGCCCAUGGGGUUGCGGGGUGGA